RNAcentral lists this ribosomal RNA (487 nucleotides) under uncultured bacterium. RNAcentral's name for it is "bacterial SSU rRNA". It matches the Rfam family "Bacterial small subunit ribosomal RNA", at positions 29 to 507 of the family's 1533-position model. The record is from RNAcentral.
AGUGAACGCUGGCGGCAGGCCUAAUACAUGCAAGUCGAACGGCAGCACAGCAGAGCUUGCUCUGUGGGUGGCGAGUGGCGGACGGGUGAGGAAUACAUGGGAAUCUGCCCAGUCGUGGGGGAUAACGUAUGGAAACGUACGCUAAUACCGCAUGCGCCCUACGGGGGAAAUCGGGGACCGCAAGGCCUGACGCGAUUGGAUGAGCCCAUGUUCGAUUAGCUAGUUGGCGGGGUAAAGGCCCACCAAGGCGACGAUCGAUAGCUGGUCUGAGAGGAUGAUCAGCCACACUGGAACUGAGACACGGUCCAGACUCCUACGGGAGGCAGCAGUAGGGAAUAUUGGACAAUGGGGGCAACCCUGAUCCAGCCAUGCCGCGUGAGUGAAGAAGGCCCUCGGGUUGUAAAGCUCUUUUGUCCGGAAGAAAGCAAUCGGUUAAUACCCGGUUGUCCUGACGGUACCGGAAGAAUAAGCACCGGCUAACUUCGUG